GAUGAACGCUGGCGGCGUGCCUAAUACAUGCAAGUCGAGCGAACGGACGAGAAGCUUGCUUUUCUGAUGUUAGCGGCGGACGGGUGAGUAACAUGUGGAUAACCUACCUAUAAGACUGGGAUAACUUCGGGAAAGCGGCGCUAAUACCGGAUAAUAUUUUGAACCGCAUGGUUGAAAAGUGAAAGACGGUCUUGCUGGCACUUAUAGAUGGAUACGGGCUGGAUGAGCUAGUUGGUAAGGUAACGGCUUACCAAGGCAACGAUGCAUAGCCGACCUGAGAGACUGAUCGCCCGCCUGGGAGCGUGGACAGGCUCCUUGCUCCUGCGAUACGCAGCAGUCGGCAACCGUCCGCAGUGGUCGGAAGCCUGACGCAGCAACGCGGCGUGAGUUAUGGAGGUCUUCGGUUCGUAAAACUCGGUUUUUAGGUAAGAACAGAUUUGUAAGGAACUGUGCACUUCUUGACGGUACCGAAUCAGAAAGCCACGGCUAACUACGUG
This 497-nucleotide ribosomal RNA is filed under the name uncultured bacterium. Its description in RNAcentral is "partial 16S ribosomal RNA". It matches the Rfam family "Bacterial small subunit ribosomal RNA", at positions 28 to 507 of the family's 1533-position model. The record is from RNAcentral.